GCCAGGUGCAGUGGUGUGCACCUGUAGUCCCAGCUACCGGGGAGGCUAAGGAGGGAGAAUUGCUUGAGCCCAGGAAUUUGAGGCUGCCGUGAGCUAUUAUUGCAACACCGCUGCACUCCAGCCUGGGCAACAGAGCAAGACCCCAUCUCUA
RNAcentral lists this non-coding RNA (151 nucleotides) under Nomascus leucogenys (northern white-cheeked gibbon). Lineage: Eukaryota; Metazoa; Chordata; Mammalia; Primates; Hylobatidae. The record is from Rfam by way of RNAcentral.